Molecule: transfer RNA, 74 nt
Filed under: Acidimicrobiia bacterium
Lineage: Bacteria; Bacillati; Actinomycetota; Acidimicrobiia
Description: tRNA-Met
Rfam family: tRNA
About the family: Transfer RNA (tRNA) molecules are approximately 80 nucleotides in length. Their secondary structure includes four short double-helical elements and three loops (D, anti-codon, and T loops).
Source: RNAcentral
GGCGACGUAGCUCAGUUGGUAAGAGUGCUCGACUCAUAAUCGAGAGGCCGUGGGUUCGAGUCCCACCGUCGCUA